GGGGUUGUGGCUCAGUGGUAGAGCACUCACCUAGCAUGUGCAAGGCCCUGGGUUUGAUCCUCAGCACCACA
RNAcentral lists this transfer RNA (71 nucleotides) under Marmota monax (woodchuck). RNAcentral's name for it is "tRNA.Ala". It matches the Rfam family "tRNA". Rfam says of the family: Transfer RNA (tRNA) molecules are approximately 80 nucleotides in length. Their secondary structure includes four short double-helical elements and three loops (D, anti-codon, and T loops). The record is from RNAcentral. Lineage: Eukaryota; Metazoa; Chordata; Mammalia; Rodentia; Sciuridae.